GAACGUGUUCCCUGGGGAACAGAGGACAGCUUCCCCGUGGACUGUCCCAGGCUGUAAACCUUGGUGGAGCAGGCUGUCAGGCCCUUUCUUCUGCUGAGCGGCUGGUGGCGGAAACCCAUCCGACUGCUACUAGCAAUAAAACGUGGGAAACCUGUCA
Echinops telfairi (small Madagascar hedgehog) is the source of this 157-nucleotide long non-coding RNA. RefSeq lists it as uncharacterized. The transcript has 2 exons. The record is from RefSeq and is a predicted model, not a curated record. NCBI's taxonomy places the organism in Eukaryota, Metazoa, Chordata, Mammalia, Afrosoricida, Tenrecidae.